UACGAGAGGCCCAAACGUUAUUCGGAUUUACUGGGCUUAAAGAGUUCGUAGGCGGCUUGGAAAGUGGGGUGUGAAAGCCCUCGGCUCAACCGAGGAAUUGCGCUCCAAACUACCGAGCUUGAGUAGGCUAGAGGUGAGCAGAACUGAUGGUGGAGCGGUGAAAUGCGUAGAGAUGUGGAGGAACACCAAUGGCGAAGGCAGCCUUCUGGGCCAACACUGACGCUCAUGCACGAAAGCGUGGGGAGCAAACAGG
This 253-nucleotide ribosomal RNA is filed under the name uncultured bacterium. RNAcentral describes it as "partial 16S ribosomal RNA". It matches the Rfam family "Bacterial small subunit ribosomal RNA", at positions 524 to 776 of the family's 1533-position model. The record is from RNAcentral.